This is a non-coding RNA of Monodelphis domestica (gray short-tailed opossum), 387 nucleotides long. Lineage: Eukaryota; Metazoa; Chordata; Mammalia; Didelphimorphia; Didelphidae. The record is from the annotation of a RefSeq genome assembly.
AUGGAGAGAUACAUCCAACAGGAAGCAAAGCCUCAUUAUUCGCAAGUAGUUUUAGGUGCUGACAAACAAUGUUCCAGAGGGGCCACUGGGGUGACCCAGUCUCCAUCCUCCCUGGCUAUGUCUCUAGGAGAGAGGGUCACCCUGUCCUGCAGGGCCAGUCAGAGCAUUAGUAAUUACAUAAACUGGUACCAACAGCCCCCAGGCCAGUCUCCCAGGCUUCUCAUUCACGGGGCUUCCACCCUGCACUCUGGGGUCCCUGAUGGGUUCACUGGCAGUGGCUCUGGGACAGAUUUCUCUCUUACCAUCAGUGCUGUGGAACCAGAGGACAUCGCAGACUAUUACUGCCUACAAGUCAAUUACUGGCCUCUCACAGUGCUCCAUCUCUGA